Molecule: long non-coding RNA, 6425 nt
Filed under: Homo sapiens (human)
Lineage: Eukaryota; Metazoa; Chordata; Mammalia; Primates; Hominidae
Description: HSALNT0203152
Source: RNAcentral
CUUCAUCAGGGUUACAUUUAAUGUUAUAAAACAUUAUUUAAAGCUGAGUGUGGUGGAUUGCACCUGUAAUUCCAGCUACUUGGGAGGCUGAACUGAGAGGAUCUCCUGAGGCCAGGAGUUUGAGAACAGACUGGGAAACAUAGCGAUACCCUAUCUGUAAAACAAAAGAGAGAGAGAGAAUAAGUGGGUAUGGUGGGACACCUGAAGUCCCAGCUACUAGGAAAUCUGAGGUGAGAGGCUUGCAUAAUCCCAGGAGGUUGGGGCUGCAGGGAGCUAUGAUCACUCCAUUGCACUACAGCCUGGGCAACAGAGUGACACUUUGUCUCUACAAUAAAGAAAUAAAACAUUAUAUAUAUCUAAUAUAUAAAAACAUUUUGACUGUAUCAAACUUUAUAUAAUAUAUAAAUUAAAUAUUAUUUUUUAGUUACCAAACAAAACAUCUGCAGGCUCAAGGGUUAGACUUUGCUAUCUGUUGAAAUACAUAGUGCCUUCAGCAAUGAUUUCAGAACAAAUGAAGAAAUCAUAAGCUUCUUCAGUUAGUGACUUCAUUCAAAGUUUAUAGGACAAUAUUAAAAUACAAUUUUGUAAACAUGAUUGAAAAAAUAUAGCUAAAGAUUUUUUUAUUCUGUUGAUAUUUUCAUAGAAACCAGAAUAUAGUCAAAUAAAGUUAUGCUCUCUAUCAUGGAUCUAAAGUAAAGGUAUCUUGUAAAAUUGUAUAAGAUUACAUUUAUAAGGAAAGGAAGUCAAGUAGUAGUUAGGAGAAAAAAACUUAUUGUGAGCAUUGACUAUCUUUCCAUAUAUAAGUUCCUGUGUUCUCUUCAAGGAGACAGGUGACAGAAGUACACAAACCUCCUUUAGAAGAAAUAUUUUUAUAUUAUCUAUAAAUUAAAUAAAAUCUGGUUUGAUAUGAAAACAAUGGCAUAUCAUAGGCUGUGACAGAGGAUCUGAAUAUUUUUCAGGGCAAAUGUUGCAGGUAUGAUGGAAAGGGCCACAAGCCAAGGAAUGAGGAUAGCCUUUAGAAGCAGAAAAGGAAAGGAAAUAGAUUCUCAUCUAGAGCCUCUACAAAGGAAUGAGCUCUGCUGACACCUUGACCUUAGCUAAUGAGGCCCAUUUUCUGGAGAAUUUGUGAUUUCCAAAACUGAAGACUAAAUUUGUCAAGGAAACGGCCAGGCAUGGUGGCUGAUGCCUGUAACCCCAGGACUUUGGGAAGCUAAGGCAGUAGGAUUGCUUGAGCCCAGAAGUUUGAGUCUGCAGUGAACUAUGACUCACCACUGCCUUCCAGCCUGGGUGACAGAGUGAGACCCUGUCUCAGGAAAAAAAAAUAAAAGCAACAGUUAUAUUUUCUAUACUUCUGUAAUUUUCUAUAUAAUUCUUUCUCAUCUGCUGGCAGUAUUAUGACUUUUAUGCAAAUCUGAUGUCUCUCAUUUUUUCUACCUGGCAUACUUUUAUUGUGUAUGAGUUUAAAUAAUAGUGUAUGUUUUUCUCUCAAAGUAUACAUUUUUGGGUUUUACACAAAAAUUUCUUUCAAUUACUGUAUUGUAUCACUUUAUUUUGUGGCAGUUUUUUAAAUUGUUUCUGUAGAGGACACUCAUAUAUAAACCAGUAUCCUUUGAUUUCCCAUCUUCUCACAUUCAGUAACACGUGCUUAUUCUAUUUAUUCUUGGAUUUUGAGUUGGUGAUUUAGCAAGCUAUCCUUUGCACGUACACUGAGAAUUAUUAUUUAAAUUAAUGUAGUCUCUCAAAAUGAAGAAAAUUAUACAUAGUGAUAUGAAUUUGUUUAUACUUUUUUCUGAAAUUUAACACAUUGUUUUAUAAUAUAAAUGUUGGCAUCCCACAAUAACCCUUAGUGAAGUUGUUGAUUCUUCAAUUAUAGUAUUUGGAAGCAGAAUGAAAAUGACCUGGAUGAAAAGAAAAAUAAACAGAUGUUCAUAUGAUGUUAGUUAGUUCCCCCCAAAAAAGGCUUCCUAGGAAAGUAUUUAACCCAGGGAAAUUAAAGUUAGAAGGUUUGAUCAAAGACCUAUCACUCCCUAUUGGAAAAAUGAAGAUUUGUUGCAUUGUCACUGGAGAGAAGACUGGAGGUAGUCACUCAGAGCUAAUUGUGUGUGCCGUAUUUAAUAAGGUUGGUGCCUAAUGGACUUCAUCACAGGGAAGUCUUUAUUGCCCAAGAGACCUUGACAUCAGAAACAUUAUUGGAAGGGUUUCUGUCUACACAUGUAGCCAGCUAUUUACCUGCCCAGAGUUAACCUAAGAUUUUUUUCAAAAGGUUGAUUGGUUCAGCCAUUACUUUGAUUUCCUGUCUCCUGUCACCUUUUGCAGUAAUCACAUAAGUAGUUUUUGUUGUUUUUUUUUGUUUUAGCAACCUGGAAUAAGAAAAUAGUUUUUCAUUUGUACUAAGAGGUGUUUUUCAUUAAACAACCUGAUCAAAGUUUCUAUUUUCAAUUUAUAUGCUAAUAAAGUAUACUUUAGAACUUAUAAACAUGCAUUACCCAGUGGGAUUUUAUUCCUGGAUCCAACAUAAUCUAUGGGGUCAGAGGAUCUCUUCAGAUUAAAAGAGUUAGAGGAAAGUGGUUGUCAAUUGAAAAGUAUGAGGCCAUAUGCACAAUGAGGUAGAGGAUUAGAGCAAUUAAUAAUAAAUUAAAGAAAGGUUAGAACAAAAUGCAGAUAGGGCAAACAUAACAUAUAUAUUUUUUGGCAUUAAUUAUCCAGAAUUCUUUAUUCUAAGAAUGUUUUAUAUCAUAUGAUUGGUGUAAGUGUUGCUUAUCUCUUGAAAAUUCUCUUACAUUUUUUGUUUCUAUUAUGUAUAUAUAACUUACUGUAAUGCAUAAUAGGUAUUACUUUGGUCAAAUUAAGUAAGUUUUGUAAAACCAGCUAUGUCUACAAUGAUUUUCUGAGAUGAUCUCUGAUUAUAAUCUCUGCUUUUGGUAGUGAACCUAAAGAAUUUCUGAAAUAUAGAGAACAGUGUUUGUUUUUAUGCGAGUGUUGUUCUCAGGAAAAUCUGAUGGGCUUGACAUGAGAAAUUGAUUAAAGGAAAACCAAUAGACAGGUCAAUAAAAUUUGUAUGAAGAAGCUUACAAUUGACAUUCUACCCAAAUAGGCAUAAUAUAGUUAUGGUUAAAUUAGACAUUUUAUUUAAAAAAUACUGUACAGUACAGAAAAAUAUCAGCAAUUGAUUGGAAUGCCAUCUGGUGAGACAUACAGAGACCUUGGGAAAGUAGAGACAGUGAGUUAGCAGAAGCUAUGAGUAAACUAAAGCCAUGAGCUAGAAGAAUUCAUAAGCAAACCAAAUUCAGAAACCAAAAGAUACAUAUAAUCAGGUCGCUGGAAUCUGUUGACAGCAGCAGAGGCUGGAGAAACAUAAACAGAAGUUGAAUGUCCCAAAUAAAGUUCUCCAGAUAAUUCCUGCUGAUAGAAUAGUCACGGGUAGCAGGAGCAGAUGAGUGAAAGACGUAGUAUAUCAUUGAAUUCUGUGAUUAGCAGCAAUUCAUAAAACUACUGUAUAUGUGGGUGCUUUGCAUGGAGAUUUUUCUUCUCAAUUUGAUACAUUUAUGGUUUUGAAAAUAAAAGUGCUUUCAGACACACAUGAAAGAUCAUCACUCAGGGUGGAUAAUCCACAUUUUAUUCUGGACCUUCUUUCAUUAGAUGAUUCUCACUCAAAAUUGAAGAUUUUUUUCCUAUGUAUUAUUAAACCAUCUGAUAAAAAACUUAUGCAUUCCCCUUCUAAUUUAUGCUGAAGUAGCUCAGUGAACUAAAGCCCUACACUGCCAUAUUAUUGUAUUAUUUACAGAGAUGUAUGGAGUAAAUCAGUGUGUGUGCAUAUGAUUGUGUGAGGCAUGCUGUUAUAAGCAAUCCUAGUGAUUCCUAAUUUAAAUUAUUUAUAUUAAAAUAUUUUCAAGACAUUCCUGUGAUAGACAUUCCUACUAUUCAGUAAUAUUCAAUUUAUUUCUUAUGGGCAGACAGAUAAAUUGUGAUGCGGUAGGGAAGUGCUGGGAAGGGAAGAGUAUGGUCCCUUUAAAUGAUACGGAAGGGGGAAGGGCGUGGUCUCUGGCUAGGGCUCCACCCCCGUAGACCUAGGUGAGGACAGGCAUUUUUGUUUUCCUGCCCAAAUGUUGCAUUUUCCCGAGACCACCCUGGCCUGCCGUGCCCCCUAUGAAAACCCAAGACCCUAGCAAGGCAGAGACGCAGGUGGCUGGACGUUGAGAGGUGCACACCAGCAGAGGAACACACGGGCAGCUGGAUGUUGAGAGGAACACUGACUGGCACGGGCACUCAGGUAGGCCAUUGACUGGCAGAAGCAGAACACGGUGGAGUUUGGCUGGGGCAGUCGGAGGAGAGCCCAGGCCGCUGAGCAGCCCGACGAAAACCUUCCCACUGGCUUCUGGCUUCCCCAAUCUGCUGAGUGCUACCUCCACUCAAUAAAACCUUGCACUCAUUCUCCAAGCCCAGGUGCGAUCCUAUUCUUCCGGUACACCAAGACAAGAACCCAGGUUACAGAAAGCCCUCUGUCCUUGUGACAAGGCAGAGAGUCUAAUUGAGCUGGUUAACAUAAGCCGCCUAUAGACGGCAAAACUAAAAGAGCACACGGUAGCACGUGCCCUCUGGGGCUUCAGCUAUAAACAUCCACUCUAGACACUGCCCUGGGGUCAGAGCCCCACAGCCUGCCGGCUGUAUGCCCCGCAAGAGGUUUGAACCUCUGUUGCUCCCCAAGAGGUGUGAGCAGCGGGGCACUGAAGAAGCCAGCUACUUCCCCUGUCGCACGCCUUGCGAGGGGGACAAGGCAACUUUUCCUGUUUCAGUUGCACCUAUCUACGUGAAGAGAGAUGUGGUCAAUGACUUUGACCUAAAGUUAUACAUAUCAAUUUUAGAUGGAAAUAUUUAAUUAUCAAAGAUCAACUCCAACUUGUUUUUUCUUCCUCGUCACGGACAUAGUGUUACAGGUUAGCAUAUAGGUAAAAUAUCCAGUACAUGAAGAAGAACUGUACUGUAUGGUUGCUCAGAACAUUCACUGGCUGCACAAAUGAGAAAUACAUCUCUGUUAUUUUAAGCAACUGAGAUUUUGGGGUUCUUUGCUAUCCUGAUGUAGUCUAAUCUAUCCUGACACAGCCCUAAAGGAAGGGAACCAUUACUAAAUUUUUUGAGUAUUAAAUACAGCAGCUUUUGUCAGGUGAGGUUUAUCUCCCAAAUGUUUUCUUACUUUAGGGAGGAAUUUCAAAAGAUAACAGAUUUAUGUUCUCUUUAUCAGACAAAAGUUGUUAAUGUCACAUUAUUUUAUAAGUAGUAAUAGUAAUUUAUAUUCUAGCCCUUCAGAACACUAUGUUAAAAUAAAAUAAUCUCAUUUGUAAUUCAGCAGAUUUUGUUUGCCUAAUGUUCAUGACUACGUAAAUAGAUUGCAUACUAUUUCUUGAAGAAUAUUAAAGUGUUAAUUUACAGAUGCAAGUUUAACACAUCAGAUGUGUAAAAUGUUUCCAUGCUUUACUCUGUUAUUUAACCUUUUAUUCUGUAUGAAUUUGUAAUAAUCUUAGCUGGAAAUGUUCAGUAAAUAAUUUUUGCUUCUUAUCAGUUCAAAUAUUUUAUACCCUUUGGAUAAUGGUAAGGUAGCUUCUUUAUCUCUCCUUCUGCAUCCACUUCUAUAACUACUUUGACCAAAAUAAAAGGAUAAUUAUAACUGUUUUACCUCUUUUGACAUUUAUUUGGUUCUGAUCAAAUGUGAUUAAAAGGAAAAUGUGGAGUAGUUUCUAAACGUUGCUCCAUCUACUAAGAACUGGCAUGUAGAAAAACAUAUGAGCAGAAACUGGGUUUCACCAUGUUGGCCAGGCUGGUCUGGAACUCCUGACCUCACCUAUUCGGGAGACUGAGGCGGUAGAAUCUCUUGAACAUGGGAGGCAGAGGUUGCAGUGAACUGAGAUGAAGUUACUGCACUUCAGGCUGGGCGACAGAGCGAGACUCUGUCUCAAAACAAAACAAAACAAAACAAAAAUAUAUGAGCACGUAUAAGUAGACAUAUGACUUGCUUUGACCAAUGAAAUAGAGCAAAGAUAAAGAUGUCCUCUUAGGCAGAAGGCAGACCAUAGAAUGAAGAGAAUGCAGAGCAUAGAAUGAAGAGAAUGCAGAACUGAUCCCACACUUGCCCUUUGAUGCAAGCAAGAAAUAAGCCCCUUUUUGCUUUAAGCCAUUACGUGCAAUGUGAGCAAGAAAUAAACCCUUCGUUCUUGAAUCCAUUGCAAUUUCGGAGUUAUUUCUUACCACAACUGUAUCCAGCCUCUCCGGACUACAUUAACUUUGCCCUAUUUCUGUUAGAAAUUGCCUCUUUGUGCCUUUUUUAAUAUUUAGGGAAAAAUACAUCUUUUUAUUAGUGAUUUGCUUUAGGCACUUAUUUUUCUUUCAUAUAUGUUCUAAUCAUAUUCCAUUUUUUUGUCUGCCUCAAUUUG